GCAAGUCGAGGGGAAACGACAUCGAAAGCUUGCUUUUGAUGGGCGUCGACCGGCGCACGGGUGAGUAACGCGUAUCCAACCUGCCCACCACUUGGGGAUAACCUUGCGAAAGUAAGACUAAUACCCAAUGACGUCUCUAGAAGACAUCUGAAAGAGAUUAAAGAUUUAUCGGUGAUGGAUGGGGAUGCGUCUGAUUAGCUUGUUGGCGGGGUAACGGCCCACCAAGGCAACGAUCAGUAGGGGUUCUGAGAGGAAGGUCCCCCACAUUGGAACUGAGACACGGUCCAAACUCCUACGGGAGGCAGCAGUGAGGAAUAUUGGUCAAUGGACGAGAGUCUGAACCAGCCAAGUAGCGUGCAGGAUGACGGCCCUAUGGGUUGUAAACUGCUUUUAUAAGGGAAUAAAGUGAGUCUCGUGAGACUUUUUGCAUGUACCUUAUGAAUAAGGACCGGCUAAUUCCGUGCCAGCAGCCGCGGUAAUACGGAAGGUCCGGGCGUUAUCCGGAUUUAUUGGGUUUAGAGGGAGCGUAGGCCGGAGAUUAAGCGUGUUGUGAAAUGUAGACGCUCAACGUCUGCACUGCAGCGCGAACUGGUUUCCUUGAGUACGCACAAAGUGGGCGGAAUUCGUGGUGUAGCGGUGAAAUGCUUAGAUAUCACGAAGAACUCCGAUUGCGAAGGCAGCUCACUGGAGCGCAACUGACGCUGAAGCUCGAAAGUGCGGGUAUCGAACAGGAUUAGAUACCCUGGUAGUCCGCACGGUAAACGAUGGAUGCCCGCUGUUGGUCUGAAUAGGUCAGCGGCCAAGCGAAAGCAUUAAGCAUCCCACCUGGGGAGUACGCCGGCAACGGUGCAACUCAAAUGAAUUGACGG
RNAcentral lists this ribosomal RNA (869 nucleotides) under uncultured Bacteroidota bacterium. RNAcentral describes it as "bacterial SSU rRNA". It matches the Rfam family "Bacterial small subunit ribosomal RNA", at positions 57 to 916 of the family's 1533-position model. The record is from RNAcentral. Lineage: Bacteria; Pseudomonadati; Bacteroidota.